GUCCUAGCCGUAAACGUUGGAUGCUAGGUGUGGGCGGACAUUGACCCCGUCUGUGCCGGAGCUAACGCAUUAAGCAUCCCGCCUGGGGAGUACGGCCGCAAGGCUAAAACUCAAAGGAAUUGACGGGGGCCCGCACAAGCGGCGGAGCAUGUGGCUUAAUUCGACGCAACGCGAAGAACCUUACCUGGGUUUGACAUGCGGGGUGAAAGCGUGGAAACACGCUGCUCUUCGGAGCCCGCACAGGUGGUGCAUGGCUGUCGU
RNAcentral lists this ribosomal RNA (261 nucleotides) under uncultured bacterium. RNAcentral's name for it is "partial 16S ribosomal RNA". It matches the Rfam family "Bacterial small subunit ribosomal RNA", at positions 793 to 1055 of the family's 1533-position model. The record is from RNAcentral.